This 492-nucleotide ribosomal RNA is filed under the name uncultured bacterium. Its description in RNAcentral is "partial 16S ribosomal RNA". It matches the Rfam family "Bacterial small subunit ribosomal RNA", at positions 29 to 507 of the family's 1533-position model. The record is from RNAcentral.
AUUGAACGCUGGCGGCAUGCUUUACACAUGCAAGUCGAACGGUAACAGGCCUUCGGGUGCUGACGAGUGGCGAACGGGUGAGUAAUGCAUCGGAACGUACCCAGAGGUGGGGGAUAACGCAGCGAAAGCUGUGCUAAUACCGCAUGUGAUCUGAGGAUGAAAGCGGGGGACCGAGCAGCAAUGUUUGGCCUCGCGCCUUUGGAGCGGCCGAUGUCGGCUUAGCUAGUUGGUGGGGUAAAGGCCUACCAAGGCGACGAUCCGUAGCUGGUCUGAGAGGACGACCAGCCACACUGGGACUGAGACACGGCCCAGACUCCUACGGGAGGCAGCAGUGGGGAAUUUUGGACAAUGGGCGCAAGCCUGAUCCAGCAAUGCCGCGUGCGGGAAGAAGGCCUUCGGGUUGUAAACCGCUUUUGGCAGGAACGAAACGGUGUCCGCUAAUACCGGGCGCUAAUGACGGUACCUGCAGAAUAAGCACCGGCUAACUACGUG